CCACGUGGAACGCCUGACGCCGGGAAUUAUCAGAACCGCGUUCCCUCCCACUGCGUCUUUCAUCGCAAUCAUCUCUUUCAUAUAUGCAGAGCGAGUGGGGAGCGUAAGCUAGGCACAGAGAGAGAGAGAGAGAGAGAUGGCUGUUCCGGACGCCGGCCACCGCGGACGGAGGUGGUCGGCGGGGGGUCAGUGCCCGCGCGAGCGAGGUUGCUGCAGAGGAAGCAUUUUAGGUGGCGUCGGUGGCUGCAGAGGAUCGUGAUCGCCAUUUUCAUUGCGAGUCGCAACGCGGAUACCGGAUAGUUUCUGUUCAAGUUCCUUCCAAAGCUCUGCUUGCCGAUCUCGAUCUCACUGAAAGAUGAGGAAGAAGAAGGAGAAGAAAAUAGAGAAGGGAAGAUGAGGAAGGAGAAGAAAAGAGCAAGCAAGAGAGGUGAAAUUUGCAUAGCCCUGGCAAUAUUGGAAUCAUGGUGUAUUCUGGGAUGCUCAUUGAUGUCGUGGAAAAUCUCCUUGGAUAAUGGCCCACCGGCUUACUCUUCAAGCUACGGUUUAUUAUAUUUAACGAGAAUGUAUUAAUCAUUAUUUUCAUGACAGUGGGCAAUCCCUUUCUCAGUUUGCAUACCGAAUCCAAAAUGCUAUUUGGACUCGUUUGUGUCUUCCAUGCACUUCCUUGAAUCUUUGCAAGGACCUAGAGAGUCACGAUCGGCAACCUCGGGCUGCCUUUGGCUCCUGAUGGAAGGCUACAUCACAACCAUCCAUGCAUUCCAGAUGGUGCUUGAUUGUUCCUUCCGUGCUGAGAAAUAUCGUGUUGCACGAUUUAAUCUGAACCUUCCAUCUUGCUUUACGAAGCUUUAUCCUAGCCGUCCAAUGCUAUUAUUUAUCAUUCCAUCGAGAUCUGGAGCGACACAAUGUAUACACUCGCCAUUGACAAAGAAGAAGAGGUAAGGCUGAGGAUUAGAGAGAAAAAAAGAGAGAGAGGAAGGUAAGUGGUUCGAGAGCCUUCGCUUGAGGUAACCUUGUGGCUUUCCUCGUUUAUGAUCUGUAAAGCUCUGUACAUGAUUCUGUAUGUAUUUUUCUUUCUGGUUUGAUAGUUUAUGCGUUAAUCUAUAUUAGUGAUUCUUGAGCGGUUUGGUUAUCCAAUCAGUACUGUACAUAGUGUUUUUGUGUGAGCUUUCGUUGUGAGUGAAAUCUCUAUUUCUUUACUUUCCAUCAUUUUAUGCUUGUGUUUGUUGUUUGUGUUUAUUUUCAGUACCGAUUUUGUCUCUAUUGUUGGGUCUAAAGGCUAUAGUGGUAUAUCAGUGUGUGUGUGUGUGUGUGUGUGUGUGUGAUUCUAUUGUUUGGGCAAUAAGUGGUAUCAAAGCCAUUUCUUUGAUACGCAUGGUUUGGGUCUUUGUUUUAUUCCUCUCAGAGUCUAAGUGAUUAAAUCUAGGGUUGUUCUUCGCUCUGUUAGUCUUGUCUGAAUCUCUAGGGUUUUCUGAAGAGUCACAGUCAGUGGGUGUUUUCUGAGUGUCUCUGUCAGUGUCUAGGGUUUUAUUAUGAUACAUUCUUGCAAGGCAAAGAUGACAACAACCCGAUUUGAAAUCGGUACAUUUGAUGGAAAGGGGGAUUUCGAUAGCUUGAAAAAGAAGAUGAGAGUAUUACUCUCUCAUCACAAAGUACUUAUUACACUUAAACUAGAUGACAGAAAAUGAUCCGCUGAGCAAACAGCUAGGACUGAUGAGAUAAGGGAGGAAGCAUUCAACUUGAUAUUCCUCCAUUUGGGGGAUAUUGUGAUCAAAAAGGUAGAUUAUAUAACUAACCCCCUUGAUUUAUGGAAUAGAUUUGAAUCUUUGUAUAUUGUUGUUUCUGCUCCCAACUUAGUUUAUUUGAAACGUAUGUUAUUCAAUUUUAAAAUGAAUGCAUCAAAAUCUAUGAAUUAUAAUAUAGAUUAAUUUAUUAAACUUACAUUGAUGUUAAGGGGGACUGACCAAGUCUUAGGAGAUACUAGUGAGGCAAUGAUAUUAUUAAACUCAUUACUUGAUAAUUAUAAUGUAGUUAAACAUACUUUACAGUAUACUGAUAUUGUGCCUACAUUAGAACUAGUAAUCUCUGAAAUCAAGGCUAAGGAAUUAGAACUUCAUACUUCUAAAAAACUUGGUAACAAUUUAUUUGUUAAGGGACUGUUUGAAAAUGGUCAGAAUAGUUUUAACAACAAUCAGAAUGGGGGUACAGGACAUAAGGGAAAACAAAAUGGAAAGAAGGGAAAACAAAAGCAAUCUAAAUGGAAAUGCUACCACUGUGGAAAUUAGGGUCACAUUAAAAAAAUAUUGUUAUGACUUUAUUAAAAAACAGAGACAGGAAGCGAAUGUGACAAUUGUAACGCCCUACUUUUUCUGAGCGUAAAAUAACUUAAAAAUUUAGGGAAUAUAUUUUUUUUUCAAAAUAAAAUCAUCUCCCGACAAUCACGAUCUACUUUCUCAGCAUACUAAAGUAAUAAUCAAUAAGCUAAGACAGGUAAUCAUCAUAAGUGCGGAAGCUUAAAAUCAAAACUUGAUAUGGUACAUAAUCAAUUCAUUUUAUAACAACAUAAGAAUAUGUACCAUCGUAUCAUUAAAUACUUAAAUACAUAGAGACUUAUCUGUACAAUCUGACGAUUUCUCAUAAAUACAUAACAAUUAUACAUGAUCAUCAAUAUAGUACAAUCUGUUAACCAUGACUAAGAACAUGUCCUGCAAUCCUCACGAAUGCACAUAUACCCAAUCAACUUGUCGAACCCAUCUGCCACGUCAUCAAUCAUCCCAUUGUCAUAGCAGCAAAUCCUAACUGGAAUGUUUAAAUGUUCCAGGAGUAUAACCCAUUAGAAUAUGAAACUUCUAGUGAGGGUUCAAAAAUAUAUAUAUAUAUGGAUGCAUAAUGCAAUAACGUGAACAAACAUUCGCCCUAGUGUAACUUCUUUGGCCCACAAACCCAGCACGGAAUUUUAGGCAGAAUCUUAACACCUCCGACAAGAUAAUCCUAACGUUAUCCCAUCAAUUACCUUUAGAGAAUUACGGCUACACUCUUAGGCUAACAUCCCAUUCCCAUGCACAAAUAUCAAUAUGAAAAUAAUAUCGUGUCAUGCAAAUAUCACGACUUUCCAUGUAAUAUGACAAAAUGAAUCAUAUCUUUCAUAAAUAUCAUGCAUAAUAAAUAAUCAUAUUAUAUAGGAUAGGAAAACUCAUAUUUAGAGAUAAACUUGAAUUUCUCAAAAAGCGUGCAUCGCCUCGAUAUGCGUGUUCGACCUCGAUUUUUGUGCCAACUCUCGAAAGUUUCCCCAAUCACUUUUUUUCGAGCACAUAAAUCAUAAAAAAUAUAUUUAAUCACUAAAUAUCUCAACAUUCUAUUUUCUUUCAUUUUUCCUUCAUUUUCUUCCAUUUUGCCUUCUGAAAAUCCCAAUAAAUACCCUUGAGACUAUUUUCUCAAAUCUCUUUUCACAACAAUUGAUAAUAUCCAAUGAACUUCAAAGAAAAAAUACUGGACUUACUCGGAUGUUGCGUUUUCAUGCAAAACAAGGCUAUUCGGUGCAAAAAUCGAGACAUCAGGAGGGCUAAAUCCAAAUCAUGUUGCACAGACAUUGAGGACAUAUUUUUCUAUAUUUUUGGAUAUUUUUGCACCAUUUUCCAAGCACCCACUCGCCCUCACGCGCUGGCGCGUGGUCUGCGCGUGAUGACCAAUGCGUGCAGGCCACACGUCGGUCAUUUUUCUUAGCCACGGCACACCAGAGGUUGGAGAUUCUGAUGCCAUCUUGUAGUCGUCUUUGAGUCGAUCCAGAUGGCCAAGUUUGAGCCCGAAAGGAGCACUGGAGAGCCUCCGACUAACCGCUUGAAGUCUCGACCUAGGCGGACCGCCUUCUUCUCCGGCAAAGCUUGAAAUCCUACCAAACCUCAACUAAAAUGGCUCAAAUUCUUCGGAAUGAAUCUACUUCUCAUGGGCAACAAAAGCCCCAUGGUUUAGAGUCCUAAUUCGUUUGUUAUUGCGGUCGAUUUGAAGCUCCCACCUCUCUCAUUUUCGGCCAUCAAGAACGCCUAUUUAUAGGCAAAAUCGGGCUUCCAAAUGCCCUUGGCCGACUAACCCAUGCCCCUUAGAGCAUAAACCUACCUCAGAUUGACCUUGAAUCACCCUCACCCAACUGCAAAAGUGAGUUGCAGGUGCGUAACAAACUAGCCAACUUUCGAUCAUUUUUUCUUCAACUUUCGGCCACCAUCGUGGCCUUUAUCAAUCCAACCUUUACACAAAGGCUUCCCUGGCAAGUCCUCGUGCCAUCUCUGCCCUCAAUUCAAUGGUCGGUGACUGUUAGAUGGGUUGAUCGAAUCCUAUGGCCAAACUUUAUUGAUUUUGCACUUUAGCCCUUCCAAGUUUGGGUUUCUCACUUUGGCCCAUUUUCACAUAGCCCAUGAACUUUUCACAAUUGCUUUUAAGACCCUCAAGUCUUAAGACAUCAAUUUGACCCCCGAAGAUUCUAAAAAAUCAUCAUUUCGGCCUCUCUCUAGCAAUUUUAGAAAAUUACACUUAGGCCCGAAUCUUCCUUUUGGCCCUAAACCCCCUCGUUUCUUCCUAAAACCAUUGAAGGAUUGUUUCUUAUGAAAAACUGAAGCCCUCUCAAGCUUUCGUUGACUUCCUAGAAGUCACCUUCAAUGAUUCGAUUUUGCAGUCUAAAUGGCAACUAUAUUUUAACUGUACCGAAAAUCGUUCUCGAUCUGAUUUCUUUUGAAACCAUAAAUCAUGUCUCAAGAUGAUCAUUAAUGCCACAUCAUUUUUCUUUGGCAUCUCAGCUUCAGGGUACUCCCUGUAGUCAAGUCAGUCAAUUUUUUGGACUAUUUAGAUACCAAUCUUCCCUGAAAUUUCAUUUUUCUAAUAAAACACUUAUCAUCAAAUAAUCUCAAUUUCUUGGGUAUUACAACAAUAGUUGCCAAUAACUCAAAUUCAUUAGCUGAAGUUUUAAAUGUCUCUUGUACAUCAACUGCAAAUGAAUGGAUUAUGGACUCGAGAUGCCCUUUUCACAUGUGUCCAAAUAUAGAUUGGUUUCAAAACUUUAGCACUAAAGAAACUGGUACUAUUUUUAUGAGAACUAAUCAUUCAUGUAGCAUUAAAGGUAUAGGUGACAUCUCUCUGAAAUUACAUGAUAAUAAGAUUAGAAUGUUGACUGAUGUGAGAUAUGUACCUGGCUUAAAAUAGAAUUUGAUUUCUCUUGGCACCUUAGAUGAAUUGGGGUUCUCCUAUAAAACUAAAAAUGGUUUUCUGCAUGUGUUUAAAAAUGAUGACCUUAUUCUCUCUAGUACAAAGAAACAUGGUUUAUAUCUAUUGAAUAGUUAUUGUCAUAUUCCAUCUGCAUGUAUAGCUAAAUCUGAUAAAACAUAUCUGUGGCACUUGAGACUUGGCUGUAUGAGCCAGAAAGGGCUACAAGCACUGUCCAACCAAGGGUACCUUGGUCCAGUGUUUGCAGAUUCCUUAGGCUUCUGUGAACCAUGUACACUAGGCAAGCAACACAGGAUGAGUUUCCCAAAAAAAACUCACCUGGCGAAGGCAUGCCUAGAGUAUUUGCCUGCAGACCUUUGAGGUCCCUCCCAAGUCCCCUCACACGGUGGUAACAAGUACUUUUUUUUUCUAUCGUUGAUGAUUUCACUAGAAAGGUGUAGAUAUUUCUAAUGAAGACUAAGGAUCAAACUCUAGAAAAAUUUAAAUCAUGGAAAACCUUAGUUGAAAAUCAAACAAAUAGAAAGAUCAAAAUUCUAAGAACUGGUAAUAGAUUGGAGUUCUGUAAUAGAGAUUUUGAUGAACUAGUAAAACCCAUGGUAUACUAAGGCAUAGGUAGUAAGAAACACCCCUCAGUAAAAUGGAGUUGCUGGGAGAAUGAACAUAACUCUAUUAGAAAAUAUUAGAUGUCUUUUGUUUACUGCUAGGAUGCCUAAAACAUUUUGGAGAGGAGCCCUAUCUACAGUAGCCCACCUAGUGAAUAGGAGCUCUUCGACAGUAAUUAAUUUUAAGUGUCUUGAAGAGAAAUGGACUGGAGAAAAUUGAACUUAAACUAUCUGAAAGUGUUUGGGUGUGAGGCUUAUAUAUGCUCAUGAAUCAGAAGGAAAGCUAGAUCCCAGGGCCAUUAAAUGUGUUUUUGUUGAAUAUCAAGAUGGAACUGAGGGUUAUAGGCUAUGGGACAGAACUUCAGGUAGAGUUAAAAUCAUUAUAAGCAGAGAUGUAAUAUUUAAUGAAUCAAUCUUCUCAUGCAAGAUUAGCAACACUGAAGAUAACCCAAGACCUAGCAGCCCUAAUGAUUUUGUAAUAGGUGGCAGUACACAAAUUGAGGUGGAGCAUCAGGAUCCUCCUGCUACUUCAACCACUCAAAACCCCCACACUCAUGAUGAGCCCCUAACUCAAGAUGAAACCUCUGAUCGGGAUAGUGAUCAUAAGGCUCAACCUGAUGACCCUAAGGUUGAGGAGUAUGACACUUCUCAACAAGACCUCAGCAAUUAUCAACUCGUCCGAGACCAAGUCAGGAGGUCCAUCAGGCCUCCUGUAAGAUAUGCAUACUCAGAUCUAGUGUUUUGUGCCUUAGUUGCUAGAAUGGAGAUGAGGAGCAGUGAGCCUACCUGUUAUGAUGAGGCUGUCAGCUCCCAUGACAGCACUAAGUGGAAAUAGAUAAUGGAUGAUGAAAUGACCUCUUUAAAGGUCAAUGAGACUUGGAAACUAGUUCCAAGACCUGAUAAGCAGAAGCUAAUUAAAUGUAAAUGGUUGUUCAAACUUAAAGAAGGAAUGUCACCAUUUGAUCCUCUAAGAUUUAAAGCAAGACUAGAAGCUAAAAGUUUUUCUCAAAGAGAAGGAAUAGACUACACUGAAAUUUUUUCACCAGUAGUUAAAUUUAAAAUCAUACGUAUGAUGCGGAAAAAAUCCGUCUCAACAUCCGUCUCAAAAUGAUUCAGUAUCUAAAUCCGUCUCUAAAUCCGUCUCUAAUUUGAGAUGGAUUUCUUUCCGUCUCUAAAUCCGUCUCUAUUUAGAGACGGUUUUUUCCCGUCUCAAAAUCCGUCUGUAAUUUGAGACGAAAAAAAUCCGUCUCUAAAUCCGUCUCAAAAUUAUUCAGUCUCUGAAUCCGUCUCUAAAUCCGUCUCUAAUUUGAGACGGAAAAAUCUGUCUCAAAAAUCCAUCUCUAAACGCAGGUUUUCUUGUAGUGGCUGUUGUAGUGCAUUUUGACUUAGAACUUGAACAAAUGAAUGUCAAAACUGCAUUUUUACAUGGAGACAUUGAUGAAAUCAUUUACAUGGAACAAUCUGCUGAAUACAUUGACAUUAAUCAUCCUGAUAAUGUCUGCUUGCUUAAUAAAUCAUUGUAUGGAUUGAAACAAUCUCCUAGGAAAUGGUAUAAAAAGUUUGAUAAUUUUGUUGCUGAGAUUGGUUUUAAUCGAAGUAAAUAUGAUAGUUGUUUUUACUAUAUACCAUCUGAUAUCCCUGUUUAUCUCUUGUUGUAUGUUGAUGAUAUCUUGAUAAUUAGCAAGUCCAAGUCAAAAAUAUGUUAAUUAAAGUCUCUGUUAAAUACUAAUUUUGAUAUGAAAGACUUAGAACCAGCUAAGAAAAUCUUAAGGAUGAUAGUAGAAAGAAAUAGAAGUAAAAACAAACUGAAAAUACACCAGCAUGAUUACUUGCUUAAAGCUGUUCAAAAAUUUGGUAUGGCUAAGUGUAAAACUGUUAAUGUUCCUUUAACUGGACAUUUUACCUUAUCCAAAACUCAGUGUCCAUCAUCUGAAUCAGAAACUCUUAAAAUAGAAGACAUACCAUAUGCUAAUGUGAUUGGAACCAUAAUGUACUCAUGAUAAGCACUAGGCCAGACCUAGCAUAUUCAAUAUCCCUACUCAGUAGGUUCAUGUCCAACCCUGGAAAAGUUCAUUUGGAAGCCUUAAAAUAUGUGCUAAGAUAUAUUAAUGGUUCACUAAAUGUUGGUUUAAAUUUUGAGAGAAUAGGUCAUACUCUUGACGUAGUGGGAUAUGUAGACUCAGAUUUUGUAGAGGAUAGAGACUCCCUUAAGUCCACUACAGCAUAUUUUUUCACCUUAGGUUGCAACUGCUUUAACUGGAAGUCACAGCUACAGCUUUUUGUUGUUCUAUCUUCCACUGAAGCAGAGUAUGCGGCUGUUACCGAUGCUUUCAAGAAAGCCAUUUGGCUUCAAGAUCUCUUACAAGAAAUCAAUCUUCUACAAGGACCUAGAGGGUCACGAUCGACAACCUCGGGCUGCCUUUGGCGCCUGAUGGAAGGCCACAUGGCAACCAUCCAUGCAUUCUAGAUGGCGCUUGAUUGUUCCUUCCGUGUUUAGAAAUAUCGUGCUACAUGAUUUAAUCUCAACCUUUCAUCUUGCUUUAUGAAGCUCUAUCCUAGCCAUCCAAUACUGCUAUUUAUCAUUCCAUCGAAGAUCUGGAGCAACAUAGUGUAUACGCCCGCCAUUGACAGAGAAGAAGAGGUAAGGCUGAGGAUCAGAGAGAAAAAGAGAGAGAGGAAGGUAAGUGGUACGAGAACCUUCACUUGAGGUAGCCUUGUGGCUUUCCUCGUUUAUGAUCUAUAAAGCUCUGUACAUGAUUCUAUAUGUAUUUUUCUUUCUAGUUUGAUAGUUUAUGCCCUAAUCUGUAUUAGUGAUUCUUGGGUAGUUUGGUUAUCAAAUCAGUACUGAACAGAGUGUUUUUGUGCGAGCUUUCAUUAUGGAUGUAAUCUCUAUUUUUUGUAUAGUGCAAUGAACUCUUCUCACUAGAACUCAACAUGGACAUAGCCCUAUUUAGGGUGAACUACAGUAAAAUCUCUCAUGUCAUUUACUUUCCAUCAUUUUAUGCUUG
RNA transcript from Diospyros lotus (date-plum), 8818 nucleotides. It is a transcript of the gene named protein DETOXIFICATION 48-like, with no coding region annotated. The record is from RefSeq and is a predicted model, not a curated record. The transcript has 5 exons. Lineage: Eukaryota; Viridiplantae; Streptophyta; Magnoliopsida; Ericales; Ebenaceae.